This 1042-nucleotide ribosomal RNA is filed under the name Neokalmusia aquibrunnea. RNAcentral's name for it is "SSU rRNA". It matches the Rfam family "Eukaryotic small subunit ribosomal RNA", at positions 59 to 1111 of the family's 1831-position model. Lineage: Eukaryota; Fungi; Ascomycota; Dothideomycetes; Pleosporales; Didymosphaeriaceae. The record is from RNAcentral.
UCUAGUAUAAGCAAUUAUACCGUGAAACUGCGAAUGGCUCAUUAAAUCAGUUAUCGUUUAUUUGAUAAUACCUUACUACUUGGAUAACCGUGGUAAUUCUAGAGCUAAUACAUGCUAAAAACCCCAACUUCGGGAGGGGUGUAUUUAUUAGAUUAAAAGCCAACGCCCUCCGGGGCUCCUUGGUGAUUCAUGAUAACUUCUCAGAUCGGAAGGCUCUACGCCCCCGACGGUUCAUUCAAAUUUCUGCCCUAUCAACUUUCGAUGGUAAGGUAGUGGCUUACCAUGGUUUCAACGGGUAACGGGGAAUUAGGGUUCGAUUCCGGAGAGGGAGCCUGAGAAACGGCUACCACAUCCAAGGAAGGCAGCAGGCGCGCAAAUUACCCAAUUCCGACGUGGAGAGGUAGUGACAAUAAAUACUGAUACAGGGCUCUUUUGGGUCUUGUAAUUGGAAUGAGUACAAUUUAAACCUCUUAACGAGGAACAAUUGGAGGGCAAGUCUGGUGCCAGCAGCCGCGGUAAUUCCAGCUCCAAUAGCGUAUAUUAAAGUUGUUGCAGUUAAAAAGCUCGUAGUUGAACCUUUGGCCUGGCCGGCAGGUCCGCCUCACCGCGUGCACUUGCCCGGCCGGGCCUUUUCUUCUGGAGAACCGCAUGCCCUUCACUGGGUGUGUUGGGGACCAGGACUUUUACUUUGAAAAAAUUAGAGUGUUCAAAGCAGGCCUUUGCUCGAAUACGUUAGCAUGGAAUAAUAGAAUAGGACGUGCGGUCCUAUUUUGUUGGUUUUCAGGACCGCCGUAAUGAUUAAUAGGGACAGUCGGGGGCAUCAGUAUUCAAUUGUCAGAGGUGAAAUUCUUGGAUUUAUUGAAGACUAACUACUGCGAAAGCAUUUGCCAAGGAUGUUUUCAUUAAUCAGUGAACGAAAGUUAGGGGAUCGAAGACGAUCAGAUACCGUCGUAGUCUUAACCAUAAACUAUGCCGACUAGGGAUCGGGCGGUGUUUCUAUUGUGACCCGCUCGGCACCUUACGAGAAAUCAAAGUGUUUGGG